UACGGAGGGGGCAAGCGUUGUUCGGAAUUACUGGGCGUAAAGAGCGUGUAGGCGGCCAGGCAGGUCGGUUGUGAAAACUGGAGGCUCAACCUUCAGAGGUCGACCGAAACCAUCUGGCUAGAGUCCGGGAGAGGAGAGUGGAAUUCCUGGUGUAGCGGUGAAAUGCGCAGAUAUCAGGAAGAACACCCGUGGCGAAGGCGGGUCUCUGGGCCGAUACUGACGCUGAGGAGCGAAAGCGUGGGGAGCGAACAGG
RNAcentral lists this ribosomal RNA (253 nucleotides) under uncultured bacterium. RNAcentral describes it as "partial 16S ribosomal RNA". It matches the Rfam family "Bacterial small subunit ribosomal RNA", at positions 524 to 776 of the family's 1533-position model. The record is from RNAcentral.